GACGAACGCUGGCGGUGUGCUUAACACAUGCAAGUCGAACGGAAAGGCCCUGCUUUUGUGGGGUGCUCGAGUGGCGAACGGGUGAGUAACACGUGAGUAACCUGCCCUUGACUUUGGGAUAACUUCAGGAAACUGGGGCUAAUACCGGAUAGGAGCUCCUGCUGCAUGGUGGGGGUUGGAAAGUUUCGGCGGUUGGGGAUGGACUCGCGGCUUAUCAGCUUGUUGGUGGGGUAGUGGCUUACCAAGGCUUUGACGGGUAGCCGGCCUGAGAGGGUGACCGGCCACAUUGGGACUGGGAUACGGCCCAGACUCCUACGGGAGGCAGCAGCGGGGAAUAUUGCACAAUGGGCGGAAGCCUGAUGCAGCAACGCCGCGUGCGGGAUGACGGCCUUCGGGUUGUAAACCGCUUUCGCCUGUGACGAAGCGUGAGUGACGGUAAUGGGUAAAGAAGCACCGGCUAACUACGUGCCAGCAGCCGCGGUGAUACGUAGGGUGCGAGCGUUGUCCGGAUUUAUUGGGCGUAAAGGGCUCGUAGGUGGUUGAUCGCGUCGGAAGUGUAAUCUUGGGGCUUAACCCUGAGCGUGCUUUCGAUACGGGUUGACUUGAGGAAGGUAGGGGAGAAUGGAAUUCCUGGUGGAGCGGUGGAAUGCGCAGAUAUCAGGAGGAACACCAGUGGCGAAGGCGGUUCUCUGGGCCUUUCCUGACGCUGAGGAGCGAAAGCGUGGGGAGCGAACAGGCUUAGAUACCCUGGUAGUCCACGCUGUAAACGGUGGGUACUAGGUGUGGGGUCCAUUCCACGGGUUCCGUGCCGUAGCUAACGCUUUAAGUACCCCGCCUGGGGAGUACGGCCGCAAGGCUAAAACUCAAAGGAAUUGACGGGGCCCCGCACAAGCGGCGGAGCAUGCGGAUUAAUUCGAUGCAACGCGUAGAACCUUACCUGGGUUUGACAUGGAUCGGGAGUGCUCAGAGAUGGGUGUGCCUCUUUUGGGGUCGGUUCACAGGUGGUGCAUGGCUGUCGUCAGCUCGUGUCGUGAGAUGUUGGGUUAAGUCCCGCAACGAGCGCAACCCUUGUUCACUGUUGCCAGCACGUUAUGGUGGGGACUCAGUGGAGACCGCCGGGGUCAACUCGGAGGAAGGUGGGGAUGACGUCAAGUCAUCAUGCCCCUUAUGUCCAGGGCUUCACGCAUGCUACAAUGGCUGGUACAGAGAGUGGCGAGCCUGUGAGGGUGAGCGAAUCUCGGAAAGCCGGUCUCAGUUCGGAUUGGGGUCUGCAACUCGACCUCAUGAAGUCGGAGUCGCUAGUAAUCGCAGAUCAGCAACGCUGCGGUGAAUACGUUCCCGGG
Molecule: ribosomal RNA, 1343 nt
Filed under: uncultured bacterium
Lineage: Bacteria
Description: 16S ribosomal RNA
Rfam family: Bacterial small subunit ribosomal RNA
Source: RNAcentral